Drosophila takahashii is the source of this 1304-nucleotide non-coding RNA. Lineage: Eukaryota; Metazoa; Arthropoda; Insecta; Diptera; Drosophilidae. The record is from RefSeq and is a predicted model, not a curated record.
AGGCCGACGUUUUUGUAAGAUCGCUAUACGGUAAUACCAACCGGUGGCUGCGGCCAUUGCAAAUAAAACCAGUGAAUAGAGAAGUCUUGUGCGUCGUUUUUCUUAACUUUCGCCCAAACCACCCAGCAACACAGAUUCGGACGGAAUCUGCACAUGGUCCUUCGACGAGAAAAAGCAACCAGCCGGUGGAGCUUUCAUCACCCAAACUGGAAAAAUAUGGUGCACAAAUGCCGAAUGUGCCACAAAGGGCACCCACUUCGCUUCUGCGCGAAGUUGCUUAAACUGGAUUCCUUAGAACGACGACAGGCGGCUCGACGAAUGGGAUACUACGCCAACUGCCUGGCAUCCACACAUAGGCUGCACGAAUGCAAGUCAAAGGAAGUGUGCCAUCGAUGUGGAGAUUUGCACCACACCCUCUUACACGCUGUCCACAACGGAGGACGUUCCAUAUCACCAAGCAACAAGCAGAAGUCUAAGGUUGUGGCUAAAAGCACCACACCCAAGCGGAAAGUCGAGGAAAGAAGAAGCCGUUCAACGACACGUCGUGCUUCCAGCGACUACCAAACGCGGCAAUAUAAGACACCAUCUCGCCCUUUGCUGCAUCUGCAAGAGGCAAUCCGAAAUCUCACCAAGCUGAAGGAAAUUUUGGACUAAGCUCGGAUCCUUGCCUGGCAAAAGGGGGCGGCAUGUUAGCGAACGCUAACUUCAGAAUCUCAUUAGUAAUAUCAUGUUCUCAUUAAAUAAUUCUGCAUUGUAAAUUCCACGUUUCAUUAGUAAAAUCAUGUUCACAAGAACUAAUUCUGCAUUGUAAAUACCACAUUUAUCAGUAAUAGAAUGUUCACACUAACGAAAUAAUGUAAAACUGCGUAUUGAGCCAAAAGGCCGACGUUUUUGUAAGAUCGCUAUACGGUAAUACCAACCGGUGGCAGCGGCCGUUGCAAAUAAAACCAGUGAAUAGAGAAGUCUUGUGCGUCGUUUUUCUUAACUUUCGCCCAAACCACCCAGCAACACAGAUUCGGACGGAAUCUGCACAAAAAUUAAAGCCAUGAGAUUGUUGUUGCUGCCAGAAGGGGUUUUAAAAAUCUUGCGGAGAGUUCUCACAGAUGAGUUUGUUGUGGGAUUUAAUGUUUAAGGACUUUCUGGAAAAAAAAGCCCAAAACUCCUUUACACAUUUCUUUGGAGCACUUCAAGAAUCUGUUAACGCAGAAACAUUGAUUCCCAAGGCAAUUCAAUUGCAGAAGAUACGAUUUUUUAAAACCAAAUCAAAAUCAAAUAACAAUAACAAUGAGAAACUCAAUAAAAAC